RNAcentral lists this long non-coding RNA (1926 nucleotides) under Sinocyclocheilus anshuiensis. RNAcentral's name for it is "lncRNA (ENSSANG00000042667.1)". Lineage: Eukaryota; Metazoa; Chordata; Actinopteri; Cypriniformes; Cyprinidae. The record is from RNAcentral.
CAUGACUACUUUAACCUGUAAAUAACCUGACAUGUUUUAUUAUCUUAUUUCUAGAUAAUAGAAGAAGUGAGCGGCUCCUCUUAUUAUGAGCCUGAAUCGCAAAGCUCUUCAUCCAUCCUGAGGAGCGAAAGGCUGGACUCUUGCAGGUCAAGUACUGUCCUCCAUACGGACUCGGAUGAAGAGAAAAUCUCAAGUCUUCCGUCUGCAGUUAGCAGUGUGGAAAUCAAAGACAAAGACAUAGCGGGCUUCCUGAACGUGCUGAUGAACUGUCAGUGGCAGAGUCUGUGGUGUCGGGUGGAGGCCGGGGUUCUGAAGAUGUAUCGGGACGAGGCGUCAGAAGAGACCCCUCAAUACACGGUUCAGCUCAGAGGGAGUGAGGUGCGACCCGGCCCGGAUACAGCACAUGCUUACCGCAUUACCAUCACACAGCACGGGGACCAGAUGGCUGUACUAGAGGCGAGUUGCGCAGAUGAUAAAGAGCAGUGGGUUCAGCUCCUGCAGGAUGGGAGUUCUCCAUAUCAACACACCAGCCACGAGUCACUGAGUGGUCUGAAAAGCCACAGGUGUCCCACCUCAAACAUGUACAUGGAUGACCCCUUUCAGCAGCUGUGUGGUCCAUCAGUCCACUCGCAGCCCAUCUAUUCAAACUCCUCUAUACUGGAGCACAUGUUUGAGAAACCUUACACUGGUGGAAACGGAGAAUUGGUGUCAUCCAAGGAUUCUGCCAGCUACAGCAAUAAUGAAAUCUUCAGCAACCACAGUACAAAACUGUUUGAGAUUGAGAGGGGUGUGCAGAAGCUGGACCUGACAGGAAAAAGACGAGUGCAGUUGCGAGCGGGGUCAGAGGUCAACCUCGUGAGCGUGGGGACGAAGCCAGCCAAACGGUAUUCCUUCAGACGCUCCCUCGCUUUCUGCACCGAGCGAGCACAGGGGGGCUUUCUGACCCCACUCUUGAGAAGAACUGCCUCGGCAAAAAGCACCCUAAAGAAAGCUCCAUCUGCCCUGUUUAUGGAGCAUGGCAGGGUCUUCCAGAGGAGGACGGAGUGGGAAACCAAAGCUUCAGGUUGACAUCAAGAGAAGACUCUCCCACAUUCCCCUCAUAUUGUCAAUAUAAUAUUGCACUGAAAAUAAUAUUCUUUCCAAGCAUGUGGAUCAUGCAGUGAUUUAGAUUUGUAAAGUUUUUUGUUCUUUUUUGGGGGGUUCUUGGUACGUUUAAGAAGAUAACACAAGAUCACACAAACUCUUUAUCAGCAUAUUCUGUCCAUAGGCAAGCAUUCAUCUUCACACACAGGGUUGCAAGAUUGUUAGGGAGCAACUGCAAAACAUUUUACAUUUGUAAAUAUCUAUUGAGAUGAUGCUGAUGUACAUUUCUAUGUCUAGAGAGUGGCACAUUUAAAUGAAGUGGAGUUUUAUGUUUAUCAUCAUAGCACAGUAUUUAUCCUUAUGUAAAUCACUUUGCACUGUUUUGAACCCGUCCUAAACUGUGUUUGCGGUUUUCAGGAAGGCAUUGUCAUGGUCAAAAUCAGGAAUCGUCAGUGUGAAGAUCAGUAACUGAUCAUUGAUUGUUGAAAAGUAAUUACCUCUUUCUUUUUUUUAUUUUCACAAGACUCACAAAUCUGUGGUAAUUUAUCAAUUUAUACUUUUUUUAUUCCAAUGCACAUGCAGUAUAUUAAGUGUUGAGCUUUUCUAAUGAUGUGCCUUAACCAUAUUUUUGUAUCCAUGUUUUUAUGAAGCAUUGAUUUGUCUUUACAGCUGAAGAGAUUUUGCUGGUAUUGAUCCCACUCACUUCAGGAAAGCUUUUUCUGUAUAGUUUGGUAGCUUGGUUAAGACAAGGAUGGCCUAACAUUGCUGUACAAAAGAUAACUGUGGAGAACAAAAACACCACUGAUGAACAUAUUUGUACAAUAAAUAAAGUAAUGCUGGAUA